This 311-nucleotide ribosomal RNA is filed under the name Foraminifera environmental sample. RNAcentral describes it as "SSU rRNA". It matches the Rfam family "Eukaryotic small subunit ribosomal RNA", at positions 1160 to 1343 of the family's 1831-position model. The record is from RNAcentral. Lineage: Eukaryota; Foraminifera.
AAGGGCACCACAAGAACGCGUGGAGCAUGUGGCUUAAUUUGACCCAACGCGGGAAAACUUACCGGGUCCGGACACACUGAGGAUUGACAGGCGAGAAGUGUUAUUAUUAUUAUAAUACUUCGUUACAUAUGUAAGUCCUUUCAUGAUUGUGUGAUAGGUGGUGCAUGGCCGUUCUUAGUUCGUGGAGCGAUCUGUCUGCUUAAUUGCGUUUCAGAUAUAUAAAGGUAAGUUACAAAUUUUGCAAGGUGUGUUGGUUGUUAGUUCAGCCUUCCACUGAGCAGACUGCCUUUUGAAAGCAACGAACGUGACCG